RNAcentral lists this non-coding RNA (129 nucleotides) under unclassified sequences. Its description in RNAcentral is "LAGLIDADG-2 RNA". It matches the Rfam family "LAGLIDADG-2 RNA". Rfam says of the family: Halobacteria (Archaea). The record is from Rfam by way of RNAcentral.
AUACAGGCCUCACUUAGAGGCCUUGCUGUGACCUGGGGAGGUUAGGCAUCCAAAUGGGUAGCAGCGGCACCCUUCUGGAGAGACGGUCACCGGAGACCGGGCUUGUCAGACCCGGUCGGGAGCCGUUUU